Molecule: unclassified non-coding RNA, 434 nt
Filed under: soil metagenome
Description: partial contains 5.8S ribosomal RNA, internal transcribed spacer 2, and large subunit ribosomal RNA
Rfam family: 5.8S ribosomal RNA (bases 1-120)
Source: RNAcentral
GAUGAAGAACGUAGUGAAAUGCGAUACGUAAUGUGAAUUGCAGAAUUCAGUGAAUCAUCGAAUCUUUGAACGCAUAUUGCGCUCUUUGGUAUUCCGAAGAGCAUGCUUGUUUGAGUAUCAGUAAACACCUCAAAGCUUUUGGAUUUUUUAAUCGAAAAGCUUUGGACUUGAGCAAUCCCAACACCAAUCUUUUUGAGAUCGGUGGCGGGUUGCUUGAAAUGCAGGUGCAGCUGGACAUUCUCCUGAGCUAAAAGCAUAUUCAUUUAGUCCCGUCAAAUGGAUUAUUACUUUUGCUGCAGCUAACAUAAAGGGAGUUUGACCGUAUUGGCUGACUGAUGCAGGAUUUCACAAGGGUCGGCAACGAUUCUUGUUAAACUCGAUCUCAAAUCAAGUAAGACUACCCGCUGAACUUAAGCAUAUCAAUAAGCGGAGGA